UAUACAUGCAUCCUGCAAGUUUACAAGAGAAGCAGAAAAACCACAUUUUGUCCUCCCUAGAAGAGAAUGAUUUGCAGGAAUCACUCAAUGGGGUUAAGAUACGAACACAUUUAAUCUGUGACCUCCUGCCUAGAAUGUAAUUGGCAGUGCAUCUUUACCAAAUUCAACAUUGGCAUAAUGUAUCUGUCAUUCUAUCUUGUUCUUCAUGGAUGUC
Molecule: long non-coding RNA, 214 nt
Filed under: Elaeis guineensis (African oil palm)
Lineage: Eukaryota; Viridiplantae; Streptophyta; Magnoliopsida; Arecales; Arecaceae
Description: long non-coding RNA (EGUI_LNC035752)
Source: RNAcentral